CAAUAGCGUAUAUUAAAGCUGUUGCGGUUAAAAAGCUCGUAGUUGGAUUUCUGUCAAGGACAACUGGUCCACCCUCCGGGUGAGCACAUAGUUUGGUCUUGACAUCUUGCUGGAAGCUGUUGCUGCACUUGGCUGUGUGGCGCAGUGUUCAGCACUUUCACUUUGAGGAAAUUGGAGUGUUUCAAGCAGGCACAUGCCUUUGGACACAGUAGCAUGGAAUAAUUAGAUUGGGCUUUUGCUCCAAUUUGUCGGUUUCUGGAGCUGGGGUGAGUAUUAAUGGGGAUUGUUGGGGGCAUCCGAAUUUAGCCGUCAGAGGUGAAAUUCUUGGAUCUGCUAAAGACGGACAACUGCGAAAGCGUUUGCCCAGGAUGAUUUCAUUGA
Molecule: ribosomal RNA, 381 nt
Filed under: uncultured eukaryote
Lineage: Eukaryota
Description: partial 18S ribosomal RNA
Rfam family: Eukaryotic small subunit ribosomal RNA
Source: RNAcentral